GCAAGUCGAACGCGAUAGAAGACUUCGGUCUUCGAGUAGAGUGGCGCACGGGUGAGUAACACGUGGAUAACCUGCCCUAGAGUCUGGGAUAACAUUUCGAAAGGGAUGCUAAUACCGGAUAAGCCCACAGAUUCUUCGGAGUCAGUGGGAAAAGAUUUAUUGCUCUAGGAUGGAUCCGCGGUCCAUUAGCUAGUUGGUGGGGUAAUGGCCUACCAAGGCUACGAUGGAUAGCUGGUCUGAGAGGAUGAUC
RNAcentral lists this ribosomal RNA (250 nucleotides) under uncultured bacterium. Its description in RNAcentral is "partial 16S ribosomal RNA". It matches the Rfam family "Bacterial small subunit ribosomal RNA", at positions 57 to 305 of the family's 1533-position model. The record is from RNAcentral.